This 416-nucleotide unclassified non-coding RNA is filed under the name soil metagenome. Its description in RNAcentral is "partial contains 5.8S ribosomal RNA, internal transcribed spacer 2, and large subunit ribosomal RNA". The stretch from base 1 to 120 matches the Rfam family "5.8S ribosomal RNA", at positions 35 to 154 of the family's 154-position model. The record is from RNAcentral.
GAUGAAGAACGUAGCGAAAUGCGAUAAGUAAUGUGAAUUGCAGAAUUCAGUGAAUCAUCGAAUCUUUGAACGCACCUUGCACUCCUUGGUAUUCCGAGGAGUACGCCUGUUCGAGUGUUAUGAAGCUCUCAAAACGCAAUUGGCUUAAAACCUGAUUGUUGUUUUGGAUUUGAACUUUGCCGUGUUAUAACGGCUGGUUUUAAAAGUAUUAGCUGGUACUAGAACGAAUUGGUUCUACUCAACGUGAUAUUUAUAUGAUCGUUGAGGACAUUCCUUUCACGAGGAAUGGCCAUAGUAAAUUCAAUGGACUGCUUCUAAUCUGGCUUUAAUUCUUUAUUGGAUUAACCACUUUUCAAAUCUGACCUCGAAUCAGGUGGGACUACCCGCUGAACUUAAGCAUAUCAAUAAGCGGAGGA